UCAAUCUUUAAAAGAAAAAUUAAGUAUGCAUAACUAACAUUCUAGAAAAAAAAGACAUUUGCAUGCUUAACAAGUUAAACCAAGUGCUAACAUUUUUAUAUGGGUGAAAUUAUGAUUUCGUCUAUAAUUACAAACAACAUGGUUGAAUCACUGUAUGCAUCUGUAGGUAGCGGUGUUGAAACAGGGGAGCCAAGACCGGGCAACCAGUGCUCUUCCUUGAUCUUCCGGAAAGAUGAUCCCUUGAAAAACAAAGCACUACAAAAUAUGAAAAAAGGAAUUUAGUUUUCUAAGGCCCAAAUCGGCGGGCCCUUGAGAAACUCAAUUUUUCUUGAGUAAAUAAAAAUGGGUCUUUGGGUAAUAAAUUAUUAUUUUAGUAUUAUUUCUGUAAAAAAGCCGAAAACAAAAAAAUAAACGCACCGGGUUGUCCCAAGGCUAAAACGCAACGUUUGGCUUAAUCCUGACGCUGAACUGAGCGGAAGGAAAGGGAGAAAAAAGGGACAUCAAGGGAAACACGAAUCACAAGCGCUGAUGAACAAUCUGGAAGAGUGCAAAGCCUAC
This 558-nucleotide long non-coding RNA is filed under the name Gossypium barbadense (sea-island cotton). Its description in RNAcentral is "long non-coding RNA (GBAR_LNC005670)". The record is from RNAcentral. Lineage: Eukaryota; Viridiplantae; Streptophyta; Magnoliopsida; Malvales; Malvaceae.